Molecule: ribosomal RNA, 528 nt
Filed under: Anastrepha ludens (Mexican fruit fly)
Lineage: Eukaryota; Metazoa; Arthropoda; Insecta; Diptera; Tephritidae
Description: partial small subunit ribosomal RNA
Rfam family: Bacterial large subunit ribosomal RNA (bases 396-528)
Source: RNAcentral
AAACAUGUCUUUUUGAAUUAUAUUUAAAGUCUGACCUGCCCACUGAAUAAUUUUAAAUGGCCGCAGUAUUUUGACUGUGCAAAGGUAGCAUAAUCAUUAGUCUUUUAAUUGAAGGCUGGUAUGAACGGUUGGACGAAGUAUAAGCUGUUUCAUAUAAAUUUAUAAUAGAAUUUUAUAUUUUAGUUAAAAAGCUAAAAUUUUAUUAAAAGACGAGAAGACCCUAUAAAUCUUUAUAUUUAAUAUAAACUAAAUUUUUUUGAUUUAUUUUAUUUUUUUUAAUAUUAAUUAUUUUGUUGGGGUGAUAUUAAAAUUUGAUGAACUUUUAAUUUUUAAAAAUCAUUAAUUUAUGAAUUAUUGAUCCAUUAAUAGUGAUUAUAAGAUUAAGUUACUUUAGGGAUAACAGCGUAAUUUUUUUUGAGAGUUCAUAUCGACAAAAAAGUUUGCGACCUCGAUGUUGGAUUAAGGUAUAAUUUUGGGUGUAGCCGUUCAAAAAUUAAGUCUGUUCGACUUUUAAAUCCUUACAUGAUC